GCUACACAUGCAGUCGAGCGAGACCUUCGGGUCUAGCGGCGGACGGGUUAGUAACGCGUGGGAACGUGCCCUUCUCUGCGGAAUAGCCACUGGAAACGGUGAGUAAUACCGCAUACGCCCUUCGGGGGAAAGAUUUAUCGGAGAAGGAUCGGCCCGCGUUAGAUUAGAUAGUUGGUGGGGUAAUGGCCUACCAAGUCUACGAUCUAUAGCUGGUUUUAGAGGAUGAUCAGCAACACUGGGACUGAGACACGGCCCAGACUCCUACGGGAGGCAGCAGUGGGGAAUCUUAGACAAUGGGCGCAAGCCUGAUCUAGCCAUGCCGCGUGUGUGAUGAAGGUCUUAGGAUCGUAAAGCACUUUCGCCAGGGAUGAUAAUGACAGUACCUGGUAAAGAAACCCCGGCUAACUCCGUGCCAGCAGCCGCGGUAAUACGGAGGGGGUUAGCGUUGUUCGGAAUUACUGGGCGUAAAGCGUACGUAGGCGGAUCAGAAAGUAAGGGGUGAAAUCCCAGGGCUCAACCCUGGAACUGCCUCUUAAACUCCUGGUCUUGAGUUCGAGAGAGGUGAGUGGAAUUCCAAGUGUAGAGGUGAAAUUCGUAGAUAUUUGGAGGAACACCAGUGGCGAAGGCGGCUCACUGGCUCGAUACUGACGCUGAGGUACGAAAGUGUGGGGAGCAAACAGGAUUAGAUACCCUGGUAGUCCACACCGUAAACGAUGAAUGCCAUUCGUCGGGCAGUAUACUGUUCGGUGACACACCUAACGGAUUAAGCAUUCCGCCU
RNAcentral lists this ribosomal RNA (778 nucleotides) under Sulfitobacter indolifex. RNAcentral describes it as "bacterial SSU rRNA". It matches the Rfam family "Bacterial small subunit ribosomal RNA", at positions 48 to 874 of the family's 1533-position model. The record is from RNAcentral. Lineage: Bacteria; Pseudomonadati; Pseudomonadota; Alphaproteobacteria; Rhodobacterales; Roseobacteraceae.